Molecule: ribosomal RNA, 460 nt
Filed under: uncultured bacterium
Lineage: Bacteria
Description: partial 16S ribosomal RNA
Rfam family: Bacterial small subunit ribosomal RNA
Source: RNAcentral
CCUACGGGUGGCAGCAGUGAGGAAUAUUGGUCAAUAGGCGCGAGCCUGAACCAGCCAAGUCGCGUGAAGGAUGACUGCCCUACGGGUUGUAAACUUCUUUUAUAAAGGACUACAGUGAGGCACGUGUGCCUUUUUGUAUGUACUUUAUGCAUAAGGAUCGGCUAACUCCGUGCCAGCAGCAGCGUUAAUACGUAGGAUCCGAGCGUUAUCAGGAUUUAUUGGGUUUAAAGGGAGCGUAGAUGGGUUGUUAAGUCAGUUGUGAAAGUUUGCGGCUCAACCGUAAAAUUGCAAUUGAUACUGGCAGUCUUGAGUACAGGUGAGGUAGGCGGAAUGCGUGGUGUAGCGGUGAAAUGCUUAGAUAUCACGAAGAACUCCGAUUGCGAAGGCAGCUUACUAAACUGCCACUGACAUUGAUGCUCGAAAGUGUGGGUAUCAAACAGGAUUAGAUACCCGGGUAGUC